UGGUUUAUGUUUCAAAUAAUUUAUUGCCGUAGGAUGGGACUGCGGCCUAUCAGUUUGUUGGUGAGGUAAUGGCCCACCAAGACUAUUACAGGUACGGGCCGUGAGAGCGGUAGCCCGGAGAUGGGCACUGAGACAAGGGCCCAGGCCCUACGGGGCGCAGCAGUCGCGAAAACUCCGCAAUGCACGAAAGUGUGACGGGGCUACCCCGAGUGCCGUCCGCUGAGGAUGGCUUUUCCUCGGUGUAACUAGCCGGGGGAAUAAGGAGAGGGCAAGACUGGUGUCAGCCGCCGCGGUAAUACCAGCUCUCCGAGUGGUAGGGAUGAUUAUUGGGCUUAAAGCGACCGUAGCUUGCUUAGCAAGUCUCCUGUUAAAUUCAGCGACCUAAUCGUUGAGCCGCGGGAGAUACUACUAAGCUAGGAGGCGGGAGAGGUCGACGGUACUUU
RNAcentral lists this ribosomal RNA (443 nucleotides) under uncultured archaeon. Its description in RNAcentral is "bacterial SSU rRNA". It matches the Rfam family "Archaeal small subunit ribosomal RNA", at positions 176 to 621 of the family's 1478-position model. The record is from RNAcentral.